This 1112-nucleotide ribosomal RNA is filed under the name Ptychobarbus dipogon. RNAcentral's name for it is "partial 16S ribosomal RNA". It matches the Rfam family "Bacterial large subunit ribosomal RNA", at positions 179 to 2062 of the family's 2925-position model. Lineage: Eukaryota; Metazoa; Chordata; Actinopteri; Cypriniformes; Cyprinidae. The record is from RNAcentral.
GCCAAACAGCUAGCCCAAUCACCCAAUAAUUAAACAAUGUAAAUAAAACAAAAUAAGCCUAACGCCAAAAAUUAAAUCAUUUUUUUACCUUAGUAUGGGCGACAGAAAAGGUUACACCUGGAGCAAUAGAAAAAGUACCGCAAGGGAAAGCUGAAAGAGAAGUGAAAUAACUCAUAUAAGCACUAAAAAGCAAAGAUUAAAUCUUGUACCUUUCGCAUCAUGAUUUAGCCAGUAUACCCAAGCAAAGAGACCUUUAGUUUGAAACCCCGAAACCAAGUGAGCUACCCCGAGACAGCCUAUUAAGGGCCAACCCGUCUCUGUGGCAAAAGAGUGGGAAGAGCUCCGGGUAGAGGUGACAAACCUACCGAACUUGGUGAUAGCUGGUUGCCUAAGAAAUGAAUAGAAGUUCAGCCUCGUUCUCCCCGAAUCAAAAAGUAAGAGGAUACUAGAGGGAAACAUACGAGAGUUAGUUGAAGGGGGUACAGCCCCUUUAACAAAGGACACAACCUUUCCAGGAGGAUAAAGAUCAUAAUACAUAAGACAUCCUGUUCUAGUGGGCCUAAAGGCAGCCAUCUAAACAGAAAGCGUUAAAGCUCAGACAGAAAUAAGUUUAUUAUUCCGACAAGAAAUCUUACUCCCCUAAUAUUAUUAGGCCAGCCCAUGCCCACAUGGGAGAGACUAUGCUAAAAUGAGUAACAAGAAGGCAAGCCCUUCUCCAAGCACAAGUGUAAGCCAAACCGGACUAACCAUUGGCAAUUAACGAACUCAACCCAAGAGAGCAGUGUGGACUACAAUAAAACCAGGAAGAACCCACAACCGACCUAUCGUUACCCCCACACUGGUGUGCUGUUAAUGGAAAGACUAAAAGAAGGGGAAGGAACUCGGCAAACACAAGCCUCGCCUGUUUACCAAAAACAUCGCCUCCUGCAACACAACCAAGUAUAGGAGGUCCAGCCUGCCCAGUGACUACAAGUUCAACGGCCGCGGUAUUUUGACCGUGCAAAGGUAGCGCAAUCACUUGUCUCUUAAAUAGAGACCUGUAUGAAUGGCUAAACGAGGGCUUAACUGUCUCCCCCCUCCAGUCAGUGAAAUUGAUCUACCCGUGCAGAAGC